Gasterosteus aculeatus aculeatus (three-spined stickleback) is the source of this 372-nucleotide long non-coding RNA. The record is from Ensembl. NCBI's taxonomy places the organism in Eukaryota, Metazoa, Chordata, Actinopteri, Perciformes, Gasterosteidae.
GGACAGGUGAUAAGAUGGAGCCAGCUAGGAAGAGGAGGACUUCCUCUGUGAUUAGAUCACUCCUAAUAAGGUGAGGUGUUUAUUGUGCUCCGAGGAGUUUGGGUGCAAUAACAGCACCUCCUCCAUGCUGAGGCCUCACCGUGCCUUGCAUGAGAAUAAGGAGGAAACUGGAGCUUCACCCAGCCAAGAGCUGGAUGAAGCCUCGUCUCCAUGACAGCGAAGGACACGCAGCCCUUCAGUAUUGUGGAUGAUUCAGGGCAUUUGUGUCCAAACUGGAUCCUCAUCAUGUUCUCCCUACAAGGCAGGCUCUGCAGGCCGUGGUGGAGGCUGAGUAGGAGUCAGCUAAGGAGAAGGCUAAAGUGGAAAAGGUGG